This 254-nucleotide ribosomal RNA is filed under the name uncultured bacterium. RNAcentral describes it as "partial 16S ribosomal RNA". It matches the Rfam family "Bacterial small subunit ribosomal RNA", at positions 524 to 776 of the family's 1533-position model. The record is from RNAcentral.
UACGUAGGGUGCGAGCGUUGUCCGGAAUUACUGGGCGUAAAGAGCUCGUAGGUGGUUUUGUCGCGUUGUCCGUGAAAACUCACAACUCAAUUGUGGGCGUGCGGGCGAUACGGGCAGACUGGAGUACUGCAGGGGAGACUGGAAUUCCUGGUGUAGCGGUGGAAUGCGCAGAUAUCAGGAGGAAUACCGGUGGCGAAGGCGGCAUCCUGGACCGGCAUUGACGCUGAGGAGCGAAAGCCAGGGGAGCAAACGGG